This is a long non-coding RNA of Carassius auratus (goldfish), 308 nucleotides long. RefSeq lists it as uncharacterized. The record is from RefSeq and is a predicted model, not a curated record. The transcript is spliced from 2 exons. Lineage: Eukaryota; Metazoa; Chordata; Actinopteri; Cypriniformes; Cyprinidae.
CCUACAGCAGCUGAUUCAGAAGAGCCAGACUGUUGUAGCAGUCAGAAUUAUCUCCUCUCCUGAAACGGUCAUCCAUAAAAUGCCUUGCUGUUCUGUUUCCUAGUCCUGUCUGUUUGGGGUUGCCGGGAGUGUGAGCCUAGAAGUAUUGCCGCUGCUCGUCACCUGACCUGCCAAUCUCUCCCUACUGUGCUGUUGCGGAGCUGUCCACCGUACUGAUUCCGCCUGGGCGGCCAGUGGUUUUUUGUUUUUCCUUUUUGAACAAGAGAAGGUUUUUUGGUUCCAAUUUUUCCCUUUGGGACUCUUUUUGU